Molecule: ribosomal RNA, 253 nt
Filed under: uncultured bacterium
Lineage: Bacteria
Description: partial 16S ribosomal RNA
Rfam family: Bacterial small subunit ribosomal RNA
Source: RNAcentral
UACAGAGGUCUCAAGCGUUGUUCGGAUUCAUUGGGCGUAAAGGGUGCGUAGGCGGCGCGGUAAGUCGGGUGUGAAAUCUCGGGGCUUAACUCCGAAACUGCAUUCGAUACUGCCGUGCUUGAGGACUGGAGAGGAGACUGGAAUUUACGGUGUAGCGGUGAAAUGCGUAGAUAUCGUAAGGAAGACCAGUGGCGAAGGCGGGUCUCUGGACAGUUCCUGACGCUGAGGUGCGAAAGCGUGGGGAGCAAACAGG